UUCAUGUAAAAGUUGCGCGUGCCGGACAUCCAUUAUCAUAUAGAAGAGAUGGUUAUAUUUUUUCUGUCAAGUUCUACCUUGAGCCUUCCUCCUAUAUAUAGGUAUGUUAACUGCGCUGAGUGUUACAUACUUGCCAGCAGGGAGUUGCUUGAAACAUCGGGGAAAUGGCCAAGAGAAACACUAUUGUGCUACUACUUGUCCUUGCAAUUGUGUUAUCGUACAAUGUCUUGGAGGGCGUUGCACACCAGAGCCAAGUUGCAUUCUCUCGCAAAGUGAUGAAUACGGAACAAAAAGCAUCCUUUAGCAGGGUGAUUCCAUCGCUUGGCGGACAGGUUCUUGGUGCAACAAAUGCAGGAGGUGUGAGCAAUAAUGCUGAAAUAGCAAAUGUUGAAACUACCACUACCGCAGAUUCCCAUCAUGAUGUCUCUGUGAAAGAUUUUCGUGGGAUUAACCACAAACCACCACGUUAUAACAGACCAUAAUGAUGAACUAAGAAAGAGGACCAUGGGCUGAAACUAGAUAUCCAUGGAUGAAUUAAGUAUCAACUUGGUGAUUUCUAUACUAAGAUGUAGUUCUUUGUUAUGUGUGUAAUGUAACCGUUUGUCAGACCUGGAUUGUGUGUUGGAGUGUCAAGCUAUUUACUGCUCUACUAAUAUUGUACAAGGUAGUAUUGUACUAAAAUGCAGAAUAAAUCAAGCUCAUGGUCCAUGGUAA
Long non-coding RNA from Triticum aestivum (bread wheat), 714 nucleotides. RefSeq lists it as uncharacterized. NCBI's taxonomy places the organism in Eukaryota, Viridiplantae, Streptophyta, Magnoliopsida, Poales, Poaceae. The record is from RefSeq and is a predicted model, not a curated record. The transcript is spliced from 2 exons.